GAUGACUCUCGGCAACGGAUAUCUAGGCUCUCGCAUCGAUGAAGAACGUAGCGAAAUGCGAUACUUGGUGUGAAUUGCAGAAUCCCGUGAACCAUCGAGUCUUUGAACGCAAGUUGCGCCCGAGGCCAUUAGGCCGAGGGCACGCCUGCCUGGGCGUCA
Molecule: ribosomal RNA, 159 nt
Filed under: Pleea tenuifolia
Lineage: Eukaryota; Viridiplantae; Streptophyta; Magnoliopsida; Alismatales; Tofieldiaceae
Description: 5.8S ribosomal RNA
Rfam family: 5.8S ribosomal RNA
About the family: 5.8S ribosomal RNA (5.8S rRNA) is a component of the large subunit of the eukaryotic ribosome.
Source: RNAcentral